AACACGGCCACAUCCAGGCCUGAGCUUGCCUUCUGCCCACACUCAGCCAAGCGUGUUUGGCGUCCCGUGAAGCCCUAGGACUGCGCAGAGACCUCAGGAGACGGCACGUUCUACAGAGAAAACAGAAGAAAGCCUGCUGUUUGUUUUUCUGCCCUACCCUCUUCCCAAUGCAAUUCUCGUCUUUCCAAUGUGAUCCUCAAAAUCCAGUCCAAUUUUCACUUCCUCCAUGGAAUUUCCUGGACUACUCCAGCCCCUAUCUCUAGACUUCCUGGCCCUCAUUGAAAUAAUACUAAAGAAUGGGGAUUAAAAGCUCAGACUGUGAUGCCAGACCUGCCGUCAAGCUACGUCCUCAGUCUGCUAGCUCUGUGACCCAGGGCUCGUCCACUCUGAGCCUGUUUCCUCCUCUGAAAAAUGGGACCAAGAGUGUGUCUGUGAGAAUGAAAUGAGGUAAUGCAUGAAUGAGAUAACGCCUGACCACAAGCAGGCAUUAAUAAGUGGUAGCUAUGAUUAAUAUGCAUUAUAAUAUGUAAUCUCUCCUCCUGACUUGAAAUAGCACAACACUGGACACAUAGUAUCUGCUCAACGCAUCCCUAUUUGCACUGAACGGAAGGGAAUCGAAAAUGUUUUUCAAAGUGAAGGACGAUUAUGAGCCAGGUUGGAACAGGAAGGCUCCAGGAUGUUAAAUGGCUUGCGGUGUGUGCUUCACAAAUGUGCCAUGAAACAACCACAAAACUCCACUGAGUCAAGUGCCGGAAAGAACGUGCGCAGCUGAGGUUAUCAGAGGAAGAACGUAAACAGGACUGGAACACAUUGUACAAAAGGGCACUGCUAGUCAGAACUGUCUGUUGGAUGGCAGAUCAAACAGGAAUUUGGGUCUUGCUGGAAUUCAGAAAUGAGCCAAACUCACUUAUGAAAAUUUCAUUUGUUAGAUUGUAAUGGGGUUGGGGGGAAGGAGCAAUGCUUCACAUUUUUUAAGAGAACAGCAGAUUUUCAAUCACCAAAAAAAAAAAAAAAAAGAGUCAA
This is a long non-coding RNA of Rhinolophus ferrumequinum (greater horseshoe bat), 1023 nucleotides long. RefSeq lists it as uncharacterized. NCBI's taxonomy places the organism in Eukaryota, Metazoa, Chordata, Mammalia, Chiroptera, Rhinolophidae. The record is from RefSeq and is a predicted model, not a curated record. The transcript is spliced from 2 exons.